CUGAGUGAAACUAGCUGUCCAGAGCCCUGCUAGGUAAGCCUCCAGGGGUCUUGAGCCCUGAAAUAACCCCACUCUUACACCAUUGAUUUCCCUUCUUGCAGCUGUGGAAGGAGGUCCCGGGAGGCCAGAAAACAUGGCCACAAUUCUGUCUAGGUUACAGAGAGAGAGAGAGAGAGAGAGAGAGAGAGAGAGAGAGUCAUGUUUGGAGGCGAACCCCAGGCAAAAUAAAAUGAUCUUUUCAUUUCACACUGAGACGACGGGAUGUCAUCUGCACGGGCAGGUUGAUGCUGCCUGUUGCAACCCCGCUUGGAAUACUCAUCUGAGCAGACUCUGUAGACUAGCAGAGACGGUGCUGAACCCCGGCCCCUCCUGGUCUUGGGAUGCUGGGAACGGCUCGAGGGGCCUGGCACCUCAUGGAGCUGCGGUGUCCCUGGGAGCUGCUGGCACUUCGGGUCUGGCCUCUCCUCCCUGGCUUUCAGGGCUCCGCUCACUGCCCGGUCCUGGGAGAAGUCCCAUCUUGGAACAAGUGGGUGAGGAGAGGCGUGUGUGUGUGUGUGUGUGCGAGACACACACACACACAGAGAGAGAGAGAGAGAGAGAGAGGACCUCCUGCCUGCACUCAUUUGCAAGAGCCUGGCUCUCAAUGGCUCAGCAGUUCCCUAAGACCUGAGACCUCUUGCUCCUUAGAGCUUCCCACUUCACUGAUUUGGAGUUUGUUUGGGCUAUUUUGUAUUCCUCUUUCUUUUUCCACCAAAAACAGCAGGUACACAAGCAGGAGGAGGAGGAAGGGAUGUCCCGUCUCCAGAAGCAAGUCUGUGGGCUGAUGGAGGAGGUGUCCUGUCUCUCGGCUGAGAACCAGAGGCUGAAGCAGCAGGUACUUGUGUUGGGGGAGGUGACAAUACAUUUCUUGACUGAGAAGCAACAGCUGAAGCACUCGGGUCAGGAUCCUGGGGAGGUGAAAUCCCCUCUCCCAGUUGAGUUCCCAAAGGUGGAGCAGCAGGACCACAAUCAGGACGAGGUGUCCUGUCUCUCGGCUGAGAACCGGAGCCUGAAGCAGAAGAGCCCUGAUCCGGAGGAAUGGACGUCCUGUCUCUCCGCUGAGAACCAAUGGUGGAAGCGGCAGAUACAUGUGCUGUGGGAGGUGUCGUUCCAUUUUUCCACUGAGAAUCAACAGCUGAGGCAGCCGGGUCAGGAUCCUGGGGAGGUGAAAUUCCCUCUCCCAUUUGAGUUCCCAAAGGUGGAGCAGCAAGAUGGUGAUCAGGACGAGGGGGCCCGACUCUCGGCUGAGAACCAGAAGCUGAAGGAGCUGGUAGACGUGCUGGCAGAUGUUGUGUCCCAUAACCUGUCUGAGAACAAACAGCUGAAGCUGCAGCGCCCUGAUCGGGAGGAGCCGGUGUCCCGCCUGAAGCAAGAGGGGCCACUCAGGGACAGACCGGGAGCCUCCGGAGCCCUCCAAACAGUUAAAAAAACCCUUUUCGCUUCAGUAGCUUCUCCGUCCCUAGGAAGAACAUCUGGCGAAGACUUUUGUGUCCAGUUCCGUACCUCUGGGAAGACGGAUGGCUGCGAGGAGAAGUUCUUAAAGGAUGUCUCCAAGCACCCGUCCCGCAAAGGAGUCUCUCUAAAAGUGAAGGACUUCAGGAAGACCUCAAAGGACCUCCUUCUGCUCUUCUGCCCCAUAGCUUCCCGCAUGGGCACGGACAUCGAAAACGCCCUCGAGGGACUCAGUGGCAAGCAGAAGAUCCUCCUGGUGGUGAUGCACUUUAUCCCAAAGGACAACCCGGGGCCCUUUGUGGACGCUCAGCACCGGGUGACCCAUCCAGCCGUGGUGCGGACUGUGCACACCCGCUUCACCCUCAAGGAUGGCUUCUACCCAUGCAAGAUGAACGAGAUGGCCGUGGCUGGCGUGGCAGCUGCCCUCAAGGCCCUGGCUGAAGAUCAAUGAGGGGGGACUCGGCUGCUCCCAGUCUCCUUCUUGUGUGAUGUCAUGUUCUGGGAAGAGCUGGGGAGUGGGGGAUGUUCAGACGCUGUUGGGGAUUGCUGCAGUGCAUGCAUGCUGGGACUGGCCUGACUUCGCACAUUGGGGGGUGCGGUGGGGUGAAGGGCUUCCUGUGGGUUCUGUCGCAGUGGUUAAACUGCAGCCCUGCAGCCAAGACUCUGCUAACCACCUGGGCUUAAUCUCAGGUUGCUGGCUCCAGGUGGGCUCAGCCUUCCAUCCUUCCGAGGCCAGUAAAUUGAGUACCCAGCUUGCAGGGGGGGGACGGGCAGGGCAAUGUGUAGCCUGCACCUUUAACUUCUGAAAACUGCCAAAUAGAUGUUGGGGCACUCACCACUCUGGUCCAUGUGCUUGUAGUCUCAAGAUAAAUCUACUGUGACACACUCUAUGUGGGGUUACCUUUGAGAUUGAUGCAGAAGCUUCAAAUGGUGCAGAAUGCGGCAGCGAGACUUCUUACUGGGGUGAGAAAACAUCAGCAUAUCUCCCCCACUCUGGCUGCCUUGCAUUGGCUGCCCGUUCAGUUCUGCAUUGAUUUCAAAGUGUUAAUGAUGGCACAUAAAGCUCUAAAUGAUUUAGGACCUUGAUAUCUAGCGGAACGCCUCCUGCCACCUAGAUCUACCCAAAUCAUUCACUCUAGCCAAGAGGGGUGGCUGAGGGGCCAAACGCUGAGGGAGGCCCAGAGGGAAAGAACAAGAAACGGGGCCUUCUCGGCCCCUUGCCUCUGGAACCGUCUGCCCCCCGAAAUCCCUCGCUGGAUGUUUUUAAGAGCAAACUUACGACCUGGCUCUUUCGCCAGGCUUUUCCUCCUGUUGUCACCUGAUUCUUUUUCCCAUCUUGAACUAUAUUAUUACUGUUAUUUUUAUUUUAUUACAUUGUUUUUACUUUUAUCUAUUAUUGUUAGCCACCCAGAGAAGACUUCGGUCUAGGUGGGCGGGUAUAGCUUCACAAAGAAACAAACAAACAAACAAACAAACAAAUAAAUUCUGUGCUUCUAUGAUCCCA
RNAcentral lists this long non-coding RNA (2995 nucleotides) under Pogona vitticeps (central bearded dragon). Its description in RNAcentral is "lncRNA (ENSPVIG00000019697.1)". The record is from RNAcentral. Lineage: Eukaryota; Metazoa; Chordata; Lepidosauria; Squamata; Agamidae.